RNAcentral lists this ribosomal RNA (500 nucleotides) under uncultured bacterium. RNAcentral describes it as "bacterial SSU rRNA". It matches the Rfam family "Bacterial small subunit ribosomal RNA", at positions 903 to 1397 of the family's 1533-position model. The record is from RNAcentral.
AAAUGAAUAGACGGGAGCCCGCACAAGCAGUGGAGUAUGUUGUUUAAUUCGAAGCAACGCGAAGAACCUUACCAGGUCUUGACAUCUACCGAACCCGGCAUAAUGGCCGGGGUGCCCUUCGGGGAGCGGUAAGACAGGUAGUGCAUGGUUGUCGUCAGCUCGUGUCGUGAGAUGUUGGGUUAAGUCCCGCAACGAGCGCAACCCUUGCGUAUAGUUGCUCGUCCCCUAAUCGGGGAAAGCACUCUAUUCGGACUGCCGUUGACAAAACGGAGGAAGGCGGGGAUGAUGUCAAAUCAUCAUGCUCUUUAUGAUCUGGGCCACAAACGUACUACAAUGGCGCGAACAACGGGGAGCGAAGGCGCGAGCCGGAGCAAAUCCCAAAAACGCGUCCCAGUUCAGAUUGCAGGCUGCAACUCGCCUGCAUGAAGUCGGAAUUGCUAGUAAUCGCGGAUCAGCAUGCCGCGGUGAAUACGUUCCCGGGCUUUGUACACACCGCCCGU